Molecule: small nucleolar RNA, 107 nt
Organism: Juglans regia (Persian walnut)
Lineage: Eukaryota; Viridiplantae; Streptophyta; Magnoliopsida; Fagales; Juglandaceae
Source: RefSeq, a predicted model, not a curated record
AAGUCGUGAUGUGGACAGUUGCGUAAAAAAUCAUUGUAUCUCUCCCAUGCCUCAUAUAAUGAUUCACCCUUAAAUUGGGUGAAGGUAGUGAUAUCAUUCCUUAACUU